RNAcentral lists this long non-coding RNA (950 nucleotides) under Prunus persica (peach). RNAcentral describes it as "long non-coding RNA (PPER_LNC001483)". The record is from RNAcentral. Lineage: Eukaryota; Viridiplantae; Streptophyta; Magnoliopsida; Rosales; Rosaceae.
UAAUAUACGAAAUUUGUGACGAAAUAAGUGUAUAAAAUAAAUAGUUGCAUUUAUUUUAUCUAUUACAUUUUUUUUAAUGUGAUCGAUGAUGGAGAGAUAUAUUUAUAGAUAAAUAGAGGAAUUUAUGUGAGAGUUUAUGAGUAGGUGGAAGGAGAUAGAAUCUAGCUAUCAUAUGUAUGCAUUAUACUUGGUGUCCGUAGUCCUGUAUAGUAAUGCAGUCCUUGUACAUUUGAACAUUUCUGAAACACAUUGCUUUCAAGCCAGAGAUCAGCUUUGUGAGAAUUAUUUAUUUAUUUUAUUUUGCAUUUAUCAUGGAUAAGGUCAAUUGAUGAUGAAAUGGUUUGUGCUUCAGUAAAGGUUGGGGUAGCCUUGAUGUAUGCCCUUUUUUUAAUUAUAUAUUUUUUGUAUGUAUUAUGUAUUAUAUAUGACCUUUCUUUUUUCUUUUUUCUUUUUGUUGGGUGAAAAUACAGGCGCGUUUGGUAUAGGGUAAUAUCAUGGAAUGGUGGGGACUGAUAUGCCACCAAAUUUGGUGCAUGAAAAAAAUCGCAGAGAGCAUCUCCAUUAGGAAAAUUGGUGUUUUCUUUUUUGGAAAUAGGAACAAUAUAAGUUAAUUGCCAUAUAUAUUGUUAGAAUUGACUCCAUUUGACUUUUUUUUUUUAAAAAAAAAAAAUAGAGAAAAGUGUUAAUUAUAUUCAUAAAUUAGGCACAAAGACUUUGAGCCACAAGGGCAAAUACAAAUGCCUACAAAGGGGUAAUAUAAAUAUGGAAGCAUAGUAACCACAUAGGGUUAAUCUAGAUACAAGUAGGGGUGGGCAUCGGGACCGAAAAACCGGAACACCGAACCGAACCGGUGAAAAAAAACCGGAAAAAAAACCGAUUGACCAAAAAAGUCAACAAACCGGACCGGAUCCGGACCGAACCGGUUCCGGUUCUGGUUUUACAUCUCUCCG